Eurytemora carolleeae is the source of this 2421-nucleotide RNA transcript. It is a transcript of the gene named MOB kinase activator-like 3, with no coding region annotated. NCBI's taxonomy places the organism in Eukaryota, Metazoa, Arthropoda, Copepoda, Calanoida, Temoridae. The transcript is spliced from 7 exons. The record is from RefSeq and is a predicted model, not a curated record.
UUUAUGAAAUGAAUUGCAGAUAUCAAUGAUGAACUUGUCCAAGUUCAGUGAAAUGUUUGACAAAAAGAAGACCUUCAGGCCAAAGAAGAAGUUCCAGCCUGGUACGAUGAAGUAUUCUCUGCAUAAGCAGGCUCAGGCCAGUCUUAACUCCGGGAUCAAUCUAAGACAAGUUGUGAAACUUCCUAAGGGAGAGGAUUUUAACGACUGGUUGGCAGUUCAUGUCGUGGAUUUCUUUAAUAGGAUUAAUCUCAUCUAUGGAACAGUUUGUGAACAGUGUUCCAAGACAUCUUGUCCUACGAUGAGCGGUGGACCUAAAUUUGAGUAUUUGUGGCAGGACGGAGUAAAAUAUAAGAAACCCGUUCACCUGCCUGCUCCGGAGUAUAUUGCCCUGUUGAUGGAUUGGAUUGAAUCUCAGAUUAACGACGAGUCCCUCUUCCCGGUCACAACAGAUAUACCCUUCCCCAAGGUGUUCCAGCCGCAGUGUAAGAAGAUACUGACCAGACUCUACAGAGUUUUCGUUCAUGUUUAUGUUCAUCACUUCGAUCGGAUCAUGUCAAUAGGAGCUGAACCCCACGUGAACACCUGCUACAAGCACUUCUACUAUUUUGUUACGGAGUUCGAUCUAAUCAAUGAGAAGGAGUUUGCUCCGCUUCAGGAGAUGACCCGGAGAAUCUGUACAGAUAUUAUAGCUCCUCCUACUCCUACAGAACCGCACAGAAAUAUUUUGUCAGCCGAAGGGUCAUCUGCUCAUAGGCAUUGAUAUCUUUAUCAUUCAUUCGUUUAAUGUUCCAUUCUUCCUAUCAACCUACACUUCCCUUCAUCCUACUUUGAUAUUCUGAAACACAAAUAUCCGCCUUGGAGAUACUCCGCCUUCUAAAUUAUCUUGGACUCCGCCUCUAAAUAUCCAGUUCUACUACAAAAAAUCUCUGCCAAGUAUUAACUACUAUUAAGAAAAGACUUUAAGCUCCUUUUAGAAUACAUUAUCUCAGUAUGAACUGGAAAAAUCCGUUUGUUCACAGCUGAGGUCCUGUCGAAUCUCAAUCCACCAUAUUUUAUUCUUUACAUUUCUUGAAACUAUGAUGAUAUUCAAACACUUAACUAAUGAAAUUUUUAACAUGAUCUUCAUGAUUAAUGCAAAUUAUAUAAAACUAUCUUUAAUAUCGUAGAACUUGUGCAAUUUUUCAUAAGCAAAGUUGAGCUGCUUAAUAUACUGAUUAUUGAUUAAUUACUACAAUCUACCUUGUACAAUGUGAACAAGUAAUAUUAUAUCCUUUGUCUAGUCACAUAAUGAUUAACUUGUAUAAAUUGACGAUAUAACUAAGGAAUCUAAUAUUUUUAAAGAAUUGCAUGAUAAUAUUUAGUUUCAAGCUUGCAACAUGAGAAAAACUAUUUGAAUCCCGAUGUGAGCACGAAAUAACUAUAAAGUCGAAUCCGAAUAUCUGGCAUAAAUCGUUGGCCUCAUAUCUGUUCUAAAGCUUUGCAAUGAUUCAGAAAUAUUUACACAAUAAUAAUCAAACCUGUCCUUAAGGGUAUGCUUCAGCUGCCUCAGAUUGAUUAGUAACAGAAAGGCCUACUGGAAAAAAUGGGGGUGGGGAAGACAAUCUUUAAAGUAUUUUUUAUAUUAUUUUUCAAGGGUAUAUAUUUUCUAAAAUAAUUUUUCCCAUCCCUCCCCCCCUCCUAGGGUUGAAUUUGAGAAAAUAUAUAUUAUUUCAAGGAAAAAUCAAUGUAUUUUAUGUGGAAGGUCUAAAAAGAUUAGGGAAAAUAUUUGCCAGUUCAGGUCAAAUUUUUAUUUUUCCCCAGAGCAUCAAAAAUCAUAAUUCUCAAAAGAAUCCCCCUGGAUUGAUUUUAACGAUGUUAAGUUUUGCUUAAGUUUUUUUUUUUAUUUUUUCCGCCUAAAUUCGUUUCUAGGUUUUUUCAAUUCUUUCUUAAUAUUAGAAUCCUAGGUUAGAAUUCAUUCUCUGAACACUGCACUCUGCACAGUUUGUCUUUUCGUUAGCUUCUCUUCACUCGUGAAUGACUUUUGCUUCUAUUUGUUACAAAAUUAUUCAUGCUUUAUGCAUAUAUAAUAUAAAGAUUAAAACUUGUGAAUUGUAAACCACAAGUCCUAAAUUAUUUGUCAAUUCGCCCAAACUCUGUAUAUUUUGAUGUUGAAUAUUCAAGUUAAAGUCAAUUUUAUUAAAUGAAAUAGUUACUGACAAAGUACAAACAAUUUAAAUAAUCUUUUUUCUUCCUCAAUUGUUUAUUGUUUGCAGUGAUUUUUGCAGUUCUAACUUGCCACUAACUGGCAUACCAUAAUUUUUAUUUCAUCCUAGUAUUUUUAUUCACUAUCCCUUGACUUUCCUACAACCUUCAUGGCCGUUCAUAAUAUUUUUUUAAAAUAUUGUUUGUUAAACCAUAUUGUAAAUACAUUUAUUGAAUAUA